Molecule: ribosomal RNA, 463 nt
Filed under: Vreelandella stevensii
Lineage: Bacteria; Pseudomonadati; Pseudomonadota; Gammaproteobacteria; Oceanospirillales; Halomonadaceae
Description: partial 16S ribosomal RNA
Rfam family: Bacterial small subunit ribosomal RNA
Source: RNAcentral
CCUAGGGAGGCUGCAGUGGGGAAUAUUGGACAAUGGGCGAAAGCCUGAUCCAGCCAUGCCGCGUGUGUGAAGAAGGCCUUCGGGUUGUAAAGCACUUUCAGUGGGGAAGAAAGCCUUGGGGCUAAUACCCUCGAGGAAGGACAUCACCCACAGAAGAAGCACCGGCUAACUCCGUGCCAGCAGCCGCGGUAAUACGGAGGGUGCGAGCGUUAAUCGGAAUUACUGGGCGUAAAGCGCGCGUAGGCGGUCUGAUAAGCCGGUUGUGAAAGCCCCGGGCUCAACCUGGGAACGGCAUCCGGAACUGUCAGGCUAGAGUGCAGGAGAGGAAGGUAGAAUUCCCGGUGUAGCGGUGAAAUGCGUAGAGAUCGGGAGGAAUACCAGUGGCGAAGGCGGCCUUCUGGACUGACACUGACGCUGAGGUGCGAAAGCGUGGGUAGCAAACAGGAUUAGAUACCCUGUAGUC